Long non-coding RNA from Cyprinus carpio (common carp), 1202 nucleotides. Lineage: Eukaryota; Metazoa; Chordata; Actinopteri; Cypriniformes; Cyprinidae. The record is from Ensembl.
AUGAAGUUUGUCUGCAAUGCAAUCAAUGUAGGCUAUAUAACGGAAAAAGAAACCACACUGUUCCCCAAACCAAAUUCUAAUCAUAUGGAAACCAGCACUGGAGGUGGGAUAUUUGAGUGUCUGUGGAGGCCUCUGAGAAGAGUCUGGAGACUCCUGCGCUGCCGUGGACCUGAAAUAAAACUUUCAGUGGAAGAAACCUCACCACAUUUUAGUGGCCAUAGCUCUGUCCGUCCGUGGUGAAGAGCCUCAAGUUGUUUCUCUUCACUGAGGUGAGAUGAUCAUUUUGAAUGAAUUGAUGUCCAGCCAUACAACAGAGUUCUUGGACCUACGUUUUAAACCCAAGUUUAAAGACUGAGAAGAUGGAUAUUCUUCCUCUCAAAUCAUCUGCCCUGCUGUUCAACAUAUCCGCCUGACCGCCAUACCAACAUGGAAUGGAUUUCUACUUCCAGAAUGUAAUGUGUAACAACCAAGUUACUUUGUCAUUUCUGCCUACUCAGGGGACCACAAUUUGCACAAGCUUCUCCGUGGUUGUCUCCUCAAACCUCUGGACACCAUGAUCUUCUUUUUUGCCAAACUGACAAAGACAGUAGUGCACAAACAGACCUAAGUUGGUUGGUUUAGGUCCAUGCAUGGAGGCAUUAGCUGGCCAACUUGAACAUAAUGAAGCGCUGUACAAAUGAAGUGCUAUACCAAUGAAGUGUCCUUAGAUUUUAGAUUUUUGUUGUUUUAAAUAUUGUCUAAAAGCUGUGCAUGAAUAUUUUCAUACAUAAAUCAUGAUUCAUCCAUAGCUUCAUAAUUUUUUAGUAAAUUUGCCAAGUUUUUACACCAACUUUGUUUGCUCUCAGAUGAGAAUGCACCUCUACAGAGCAAGGUCAGGUUGACAUUCGUUGUGAAUCUGAACUUUAUGCACUUAAAUAUGCAGCAACUUAUAAGUGACUGUGGCCUGAUAUCUUUUGAUAUGUUUCCAUUAGGUUUCGUGCUGGUCAGUUCUCCACAGGGUAGUUAAUGAUUGUGUCUAGUACUUACAAUGGUUUCUUACAAUGGAUUGUACCACUGCUGAUGGAUUUUUCAUGCUGUUCUACUUGAACCUCUUAAGCCCAAGACACACUGCACGAUUUGAGCAAUUCUAUAAGAUCAUUGCAUGUCACACUGUGUGACAUGGAUCUAAUAAACUUGGCUAUGACGUAGACUGUACGUUGAUG